This 254-nucleotide ribosomal RNA is filed under the name uncultured bacterium. RNAcentral describes it as "partial 16S ribosomal RNA". It matches the Rfam family "Bacterial small subunit ribosomal RNA", at positions 524 to 776 of the family's 1533-position model. The record is from RNAcentral.
UACGGGGGGAGCAAGCGUUGUUCGGAUUUACUGGGCGUAAAGGGCGCGUAGGCGGUCGUGACAAGUCACUUGUGAAAUCUCCGGGCUUAACCCGGAAAGGUCAGCCGAUACUGCGGGACUAGAGUACAGAAGGGGCAACUGGAAUUCUCGGUGUAGCGGUGAAAUGCGUAGAUAUCGAGAGGAACACCUGCGGCGAAGGCGGGUUGCUGGGCUGAUACUGACGCUGAGGCGCGAAAGCUAGGGGAGCGAACGGG